RNAcentral lists this transfer-messenger RNA (353 nucleotides) under Ignatzschineria sp. F8392. It matches the Rfam family "transfer-messenger RNA". Rfam says of the family: Bacterial tmRNA, also known as 10Sa RNA or SsrA, is named for its dual tRNA and mRNA-like properties. The record is from RNAcentral. Lineage: Bacteria; Pseudomonadati; Pseudomonadota; Gammaproteobacteria; Cardiobacteriales; Ignatzschineriaceae. RNAcentral also lists the same sequence under 1 other name.
GGGGGCGUUCUUGGAUUCGACGGGGAUGUUGAAGUUUGAGGUGCAUGUCAAGAUGGUCGAGAGUCUUGUAAAAACGCGGCAAAUUGUAUAGUUGCAAACGAUAACAACUACGCUUUAGCAGCUUAGUCUGCUAACUGAUCAUAAUACUGUGUUCGUUCGGUAUUAUCAUCAGUCAACUUAAACGAAAUAGUGAAAUAUCAUUUCUAAGGGGUAUUUUGCGAAACUUAACUUAGAACAGCUUUGCAUCUCCUGCCGGUCGGACGAUGUGAAGUUAAAUUAAAGAUACGGCUAAACAUGUAGUACCAAGAAUGGAUAGUUCUCGGACGCGGGUUCAAAUCCCGCCGCCUCCACCA